UGGGGAAUAUUGGACAAUGGGCGAAAGCCUGAUCCAGCCAUGCCGCGUGUGUGAAGAAGGUCUUCGGAUUGUAAAGCACUUUAAGUUGGGAGGAAGGGCAGUAAGCGAAUACCUUGCUGUUUUGACGUUACCGACAGAAUAAGCACCGGCUAACUCUGUGCCAGCAGCCGCGGUAAUACAGAGGGUGCAAGCGUUAAUCGGAUUUACUGGGCGUAAAGCGUGCGUAGGCGGCUGAUUAAGUCGGAUGUGAAAUCCCUGAGCUUAACUUAGGAAUUGCAUUCGAUACUGGUCAGCUAGAGUAUGGGAGAGGAUGGUAGAAUUCCAGGUGUAGCGGUGAAAUGCGUAGAGAUCUGGAGGAAUACCGAUGGCGAAGGCAGCCAUCUGGCCUAAUACUGACGCUGAGGUCCGAAAGCAUGGGGAGCAAACAGG
RNAcentral lists this ribosomal RNA (429 nucleotides) under Pseudomonadota bacterium. Its description in RNAcentral is "Proteobacteria bacterium partial 16S ribosomal RNA". It matches the Rfam family "Bacterial small subunit ribosomal RNA", at positions 355 to 776 of the family's 1533-position model. The record is from RNAcentral. Lineage: Bacteria; Pseudomonadati; Pseudomonadota.